This 74-nucleotide transfer RNA is filed under the name Dactylosporangium aurantiacum. Its description in RNAcentral is "tRNA-Leu". It matches the Rfam family "tRNA". From Rfam's summary of the family: Transfer RNA (tRNA) molecules are approximately 80 nucleotides in length. Their secondary structure includes four short double-helical elements and three loops (D, anti-codon, and T loops). The record is from RNAcentral. Lineage: Bacteria; Bacillati; Actinomycetota; Actinomycetes; Micromonosporales; Micromonosporaceae.
GCCGCGGUAGCCCAAUCGGCAGAGGCGUCCCGCUCAAGACGGGAGCAGUGCGGGUUCGAAUCCCGCUCACGGCA